This 21-nucleotide non-coding RNA is filed under the name Caenorhabditis elegans. The record is from RNAcentral. Lineage: Eukaryota; Metazoa; Nematoda; Chromadorea; Rhabditida; Rhabditidae.
UCUUCCGGUUCCAGCCCACAA